RNAcentral lists this ribosomal RNA (256 nucleotides) under uncultured bacterium. RNAcentral describes it as "partial 16S ribosomal RNA". It matches the Rfam family "Bacterial small subunit ribosomal RNA", at positions 524 to 776 of the family's 1533-position model. The record is from RNAcentral.
UACGUAGGGGGCAAGCGUUGUCCGGAUUUAUUGGGCGUAAAGAGCGUGUAGGCGGUUUGGUAGGUCCGCUGUGAAAACUCGAGGCUCAACCUCGAGACGCCGGUGGAAACCAUCAGACUAGAGUCCGGAAGAGGAGAGUGGAAUUCCUGGUGUAGCGGUGAAAUGCGCAGAUAUCAGGAGGAACACCCGGUGGCGAAGGCGGGUCUCUGGGGCCGAUACUGACGCUGGAGGAGCGAAAGCGUGGGGAGCGAACAGG